This 814-nucleotide ribosomal RNA is filed under the name uncultured bacterium. RNAcentral describes it as "bacterial SSU rRNA". It matches the Rfam family "Bacterial small subunit ribosomal RNA", at positions 1 to 805 of the family's 1533-position model. The record is from RNAcentral.
CCUUAGAGUUUGAUCCUGGCUCAGGAUGAACGCUAGCUACAGGCUUAACACAUGCAAGUCGAGGGGCAGCAUGAAAGGAACUUCGGUUCUUUUUGAUGGCGACCGGCGCACGGGUGCGUAACGCGUAUCGAACCUGCCUCAUACUCGGGGAUAGCCUUGCGAAAGUAAGAUUAAUACCCGGCGGUCUCGGAUGGCCGCAUGACUGUCCGAGUGAAGAUUUAUCGGUAUGAGAUGGCGAUGCGUCCCAUUAGCUAGUUGGUGAGGUAAUGGCUCACCAGGGCAUUGAUGGGUAGGGGCUCUGAGAGGAAGGUCCCCCACAUUGGAACUGAGACACGGUCCAAACUCCUACGGGAGGCAGCAGUGAGGAAUAUUGGUCAAUGGACGAAAGUCUGAACCAGCCAAGUAGCGUGCAGGAUGACGGCCCUCUGGGUUGUAAACUGCUUUUAGUUGGGAAUAAAAAGAGGGACGUGUCCCUUAUUGUAUGUACCAUCAGAAAAAGGACCGGCUAAUUCCGUGCCAGCAGCCGCGGUAAUACGGAAGGUCCAGGUGUUAUCCGGAUUUAUUGGGUUUAAAGGGAGCGCAGGCGGCGGCGUAAGUCAGUUGUGAAAUCGUGCGGCUUAACCGUGCAAUUGCAGUUGAUACUGCGUCGCUUGAGUGCACACAGGGAUGUUGGAAUUCAUGGUGUAGCGGUGAAAUGCUUAGAUAUCAUGAAGAACUCCGAUCGCGAAGGCAUAUGUCCGGAGUGCAACUGACGCUGAGGCUCGAAAGUGUGGGUAUCAAACAGGAUUAGAUACCCUGGUAGUCCACACAGUAA